UGAGGAAUUUUCCGCAAUGGACGAAAGUCUGACGGAGCGACGCCGUGUGUGUGAUGAAGUUCUUCGGAAUGUAAAACACUGUCGAGGGGGACGAUAAUGACGGUACCCCUGGAGGAAGCCCCGGCUAACUACGUGCCAGCAGCCGCGGUAAUACGUAGGGGGCGAGCGUUGUCCGGAAUUAUUGGGCGUAAAGGGCGUGUAGGCGGUUCUGCAAGUUGGAUGUUAAAGGUAUGGGCUCAACUCAUACAUCGCGUUCAAUACUACAGUUCUGGAGAUUGGUAGAGGGAAACGGAACUUCCGGUGUAGCGGUGAAAUGCGUAGAUAUCGGAAGGAACACCAGUGGCGAAGGCGGUUUCCUGGGCCAAUUCUGACGCUGAGGCGCGAAAGCUAAGGGAGCAAACAGG
This 404-nucleotide ribosomal RNA is filed under the name uncultured bacterium. RNAcentral's name for it is "bacterial SSU rRNA". It matches the Rfam family "Bacterial small subunit ribosomal RNA", at positions 355 to 776 of the family's 1533-position model. The record is from RNAcentral.